UCUCGACCGGGGCGACAGCAAUAUGAAGGUCAGGCUGAAGACCUUACCCGAUUAGCUGAGAGGUGGUGCAUGGCCGUCGUCAGUUCGUACUGUGAAGCAUCCUGUUAAGUCAGGCAACGAGCGAGACCCACGUCCACAGUUGCCAGCAUACCCUCCGGGGUGAUGGGUUCACUGUGGAGACCGCCGCUGCUAAAGCGGAGGAAGGAGUGGGCAACGGUAGGUCAGUAUGCCCCGAAUCUCCCGGGCUACACGCGGGCUACAAUGGUUGGUACAAUGGGCAUCUACCCCGAAAGGGGAAGGAAAUCUCUUAAAGCCAAUCGUAGUUCGGAUUGAGGGCCGCAACUCGCCCUCAUGAAGCUGGAGUCCGUAGUAAUCGCGUUUCAACAGAACGCGGUGAAUACGUCCCUGCUCCUU
Molecule: ribosomal RNA, 414 nt
Filed under: uncultured Methanosaeta sp.
Lineage: Archaea; Methanobacteriati; Methanobacteriota; Methanomicrobia; Methanotrichales; Methanotrichaceae
Description: bacterial SSU rRNA
Rfam family: Archaeal small subunit ribosomal RNA
Source: RNAcentral